UACGGAGGGGGCUAGCGUUGUUCGGAAUUACUGGGCGUAAAGCGCACGUAGGCGGCUUUGCAAGUUAGAGGUCAAAUCCCAGGGCUCAACCCUGGAACUGCCUUUGAUACUGGGUACCUAGAGUUCGGGAGAGGUGUGUGGAACUCCGAGUGUAGAGGUGAAAUUCGUAGAUAUUCGGAAGAACACCAGUGGCGAAGGCGACACACUGGCCCGAUACUGACGCUGAGGCGCGAAAGCGUGGGGAGCAAACAGG
RNAcentral lists this ribosomal RNA (253 nucleotides) under uncultured bacterium. RNAcentral describes it as "partial 16S ribosomal RNA". It matches the Rfam family "Bacterial small subunit ribosomal RNA", at positions 524 to 776 of the family's 1533-position model. The record is from RNAcentral.